ACUUCAUGGUUCGGGCAUUGCAUGAGUUUGUUAUUGAACCUUUUCCAUGCCUCAUAUAAGGGCUCACCACUAAGUUGACAAAAAAUUAUGAUUUUGUCUCUUAUAU
Molecule: small nucleolar RNA, 106 nt
Filed under: Capsicum annuum
Lineage: Eukaryota; Viridiplantae; Streptophyta; Magnoliopsida; Solanales; Solanaceae
Description: Plant small nucleolar RNA R71
Rfam family: Plant small nucleolar RNA R71
About the family: R71 is a member of the C/D box family of snoRNAs containing the C (UGAUGA) and D (CUGA) box motifs. Multiple nearly identical copies of this snoRNA have been identified in Arabidopsis, and it is thought to function as a 2'-O-ribose methylation guide for 18S ribosomal RNA.
Source: Rfam by way of RNAcentral